UAAGGAAUAUUGGUCAAUGGAGGCAACUCUGAGCCAGCCAUGCCGCGUGCAGGAAGAAGGCCCUAUGGGUCGUAAACUGCUUUUUGAACAAGAGAAAACCCCGGUGCGUGUACUGGGUUGAUAGUAUUGUUAGAAUAAGCAUCGGCUAACUUCGUGCCAGCAGCCGCGGUAAGACGAAGGAUGCAAGCGUUAUCCGGAUUCAUUGGGUUUAAAGGGUGCGUAGGCGGACUGAUAAGUCAGUGGUGAAAUCUCUCGGCUUAACCGAGAAACUGCCAUUGAUACUGUUAGUCUAGAGUACAGAUGAUGUGGGCGGAAUAUGACAUGUAGUGGUGAAAUACUUAGAUAUGUCAUAGAACACCGAUUGCGAAGGCAGCUCACAAAACUGUAACUGACGCUGAGGCACGAAAGUGCGGGGAUCAAACAGGAUUAGAUACCCCUGUAGUCCCUGAGCGGGCUGGCAAGGCGCAU
This 468-nucleotide ribosomal RNA is filed under the name uncultured bacterium. Its description in RNAcentral is "bacterial SSU rRNA". It matches the Rfam family "Bacterial small subunit ribosomal RNA", at positions 355 to 825 of the family's 1533-position model. The record is from RNAcentral.